This 512-nucleotide ribosomal RNA is filed under the name uncultured bacterium. Its description in RNAcentral is "partial 16S ribosomal RNA". It matches the Rfam family "Bacterial small subunit ribosomal RNA", at positions 28 to 507 of the family's 1533-position model. The record is from RNAcentral.
GAUGAACGCUGGCGGCGUGCCUAAUACAUGCAAGUCGAACGAAACUUCUUUAUCACCGAGUGCUUGCACUCACCGAUAAAGAGUUGAGUGGCGAACGGGUGAGUAACACGUGGGCAACCUGCCCAAAAGAGGGGGAUAAGACUUGGAAACAGGUGCUAAUACCGCAUAACCAUAGUUACCGCAUGGUAACUAUGUAAAAGGUGGCUAUACUACCGACUUUGGAGGGGCCCGCGGCGCAUUAGCUAGUUGGUAGGGUAAAGGCUUACCAAGGCAAUGAUGCGUAGCCGAAUUGAGAGGUUGAUCGGCCACAUUGGGACUGAGACACGGCCCAAACUCCUACGGGAGGCAGCAGUAGGGAAUCUUCCACAAUGGGCGAAAGCCUGAUGGAGCAACGCCGCGUGGGUGAAGAAGGUCUUCGGAUCGUAAAACCCUGUUGUUAGAGAAGAAAGUGCGUGAGAGUAACUGUUCACGUUUCGACGGUAUCUAACCAGAAAGCCACGGCUAACUACGUG